This 460-nucleotide long non-coding RNA is filed under the name Gallus gallus (chicken). RNAcentral's name for it is "lncRNA (ENSGALG00010008941.1)". Lineage: Eukaryota; Metazoa; Chordata; Aves; Galliformes; Phasianidae. The record is from RNAcentral.
CUGGUAUACGUAUUUUUUGUCAAUAGAAAGGGUAGUGAUUAACAAGUAUGUUCCUCUCCCUUGAAAGUUUCAUCUGUCUUUCCAGCAGGAGGAGUCCUGUGAUUACAGUGCAGCAAGGCCCAUGCAAGACCAUAGGAGAACUGGCUGGAGAGGAAAUAAGGGAGCAGUAAUGCAAAUGGUGCUGCUGGACUGACUACAGUUGUGCUGGAGAGCUGUUCUGAAUGAGCGUAGACAAUCAAAUGCUUCAUCAAAGCUGAAGUCCAGCUCCUAGGUGGAGGUCACAGUCAUCUUUGGAAGGUGUAACUCUCAGAUUUCCAAGUCUGGACCACGUGGGCUAAACUCGAAGAAAUUCAGAAAGUCUGAGAAGAGUCUUCAGCCUCUGAAGCUGUUCUAUGUGUAUGUGCCACCACGUGCUCAGUUUUCAAUGGAUGCAAUGGAUGUAAGUCAUGACUCAUCUGAC